RNAcentral lists this ribosomal RNA (387 nucleotides) under Prasinoderma sp. RNAcentral describes it as "partial small subunit ribosomal RNA". It matches the Rfam family "Eukaryotic small subunit ribosomal RNA", at positions 582 to 975 of the family's 1831-position model. The record is from RNAcentral. Lineage: Eukaryota; Viridiplantae; Prasinodermophyta; Prasinodermophyceae; Prasinodermales; Prasinodermaceae.
AUUCCAGCUCCAAUAGCGUAUAUUUAAGUUGUUGCAGUUAAAAAGCUCGUAGUUGGAUUUUGGGUCGGGGGUACCGGUCCGGUGUUUCACUGUGCACUGGUCUCCCCUUCCUUUCUGCCGGGGACGGCGUUUGCUCUUAAUUGGGCGGCGUCGGAGUCGGCGUUGUUACUUUGAAAAAAUUAGAGUGUUCAAAGCAAGCCAUCGCUCUGAAUACAUUAGCAUGGAAUAACAUGAUAGGACUCCGGUCUUACUUUGUUGGUUUCCGAGACUGGAGUAAUGAUAAAGAGGGACAGUCGGGGGCAUCCGUAUUUCAUUGUCAGAGGUGAAAUUCUUGGAUUUAUGAAAGACGAACUUCUGCGAAAGCAUUUGCCAAGGAUGUUUUCAUCG